UGCAGUCGAACGGUACAGGAAGAAGCUUGCUGCUUUGCUGACGAGUGGCGGACGGGUGAGUAAUGUCUGGGAAACUGCCUGAUGGAGGGGGAUAACUACUGGAAACGGUAGCUAAUACCGCAUAACGUCGCAAGACCAAAGAGGGGGACCUUCGGGCCUCUUGCCAUCGGAUGUGCCCAGAUGGGAUUAGCUUGUUGGUGGGGUAACGGCUCACCAAGGCGACGAUCCCUAGCUGGUCUGAGAGGAUGACCAGCCACACUGGAACUGAGACACGGUCCAGACUCCUACGGGAGGCAGCAGUGGGGAAUAUUGCACAAUGGGCGCAAGCCUGAUGCAGCCAUGCCGCGUGUAUGAAGAAGGCCUUCGGGUUGUAAAGUACUUUCAGCGGGGAGGAAGGGAGUAAAGUUAAUACCUUUGCUCAUUGACGUUACCCGCAGAAGAAGCACCGGCUAACUCCGUGCCAGCAGCCGCGGUAAUACGGAGGGUGCAAGCGUUAAUCGGAAUUACUGGGCGUAAAGCGCACGCAGGCGGUUUGUUAAGUCAGAUGUGAAAUCCCCGGGCUCAACCUGGGAACUGCAUCUGAUACUGGCAAGCUUGAGUCUCGUAGAGGGGGGUAGAAUUCCAGGUGU
RNAcentral lists this ribosomal RNA (629 nucleotides) under bacterium. Its description in RNAcentral is "bacterial SSU rRNA". It matches the Rfam family "Bacterial small subunit ribosomal RNA", at positions 56 to 676 of the family's 1533-position model. The record is from RNAcentral.